AUGCUUGCCUUGUCAGAGCAUCUGCUCUUCGCUGCUCAAGAUUUCGUCCAUGUAGACGGUCUAGUCGCUAGACAUGCUCCCUUGAAUGGAGCCUUGCUUUCACGUUCUUUAUGGAUGGCGGAGUGGUUGCACCGAAGUGGCAGAUGCGGAGGAACAAACGGCAUGCGCUGGCAAAGCGCGAGAUCUAGUGGGCAUCACAGUGGCAAAGCGCCAGAACUAGCAGCCGUCCCGGGGGGGCGAUGGGCGGGUGGUGCUGCGAUCGGCACCGACGCUAACCCUAUGGAGGCCGGCGGCGGGCUUGGGGGCAUCGUGGAAGAGGAGGUCGGUGGCGGGCUUGGGGGGAUCGUGGAGGAGGAGGAAGAUGGAAGUGGGGAGGAGGACGAUGGAUCGAACAGCCACCUACUCGCACUGGGUAACGAAGCACAACAAAAUGCUGGGAUCAGGCGUGAAAACGUGACCGCGUCACUCCCGGUACUCCCACAGCAACGUAAAAAGCGGUCGAACCGAGCAGGAGAAGCCACCUUGCAGUCGCACCAGUCCAACGCACCGCACCCGAGUCUCCCGUCUGAGAACCCAACCCCACUCCAUGUCUGCGCCAAUGCCAGGGCCGGAGGUGUUCGACGUCGUCAUCUUCGGAGCCUCGGGCUUCACAUACGUCAUCCGCGAGGCCCUCAAGUUCCUGCCCCCAACGCCUCCCCGCUCCGAACCCUCGCGCUCGCCGGCCGCAGCCGGGAACGAGUCGCCGCUGCGCUCAGCUGGGCCGCCUCGCCGGGGCCCGUUCCGCACGUCCCCAUCCUCGUCGCCGAUACCUCCGACCCAGCCUCUCUCGCCGUGGUCAUCGCGCGGGCGCGCGUCCUGCUCUCCUGCGCGGGGCCCUUCCGCCUCCAUGGCCGCCAGGUGGCUGCGGCCUGCGCGGCAGCAGGGGCCCACUGCCUCGACAUCUCCGGCGAGCCCGAGUUCAUGGAGCGCGUCGAGGCCGACCUCCACGAGCUCGCCGCCAAGAACGGGUCGCUGAUUGUCUCCGCCUGCGGUUUUGCCUCCACCGUCGCGGACCUGGGGUUCUUGUUCCACUCCAGGCAGUGGACGCCACCGUCAGUGCCGGUGAGCAUGGUCGCGUAUGUCAACCUGGAGUCGUCGGACAGAAAGAUCGUCGGGAACUUCGCCACGUUUGAGUCGGCUGUUCUUGGUGUGGCCAACACCAGCCAGCUGCAAGAGCUGCGCCGGUCCCGGCCGAGGCCCGCAAAGCCCAGUAUUCUUGCAAAAAUAUUUUACAAUUGGAAUCUGUUGGGAUGGAAUUACAAUCUCACGUCUAACAAUGUCAUUGAUGUCCUCUCGACCCGGUCUGAGCCUAACAGCCAUAGGACUGUUGGAUCUAUAUGGAUGUAUCAUAUAUCAUACACGUUCCUCCAACACCAUUCAUGGAGGAGCCAUCAGUGUUCAACUUCACCCUCCCAGGUCGCAGCUUCCAUCCGCGACCAGGUGUGGAAAACCGAUCGGCAUAUAGUAGCUAUCCAUUUCCCUUUCACACGGUCGGCAUCAGGCUUAGCCUCGAUCGACCGAGGAGUAGCUAGUUCCAGCAGCUCCCAUUCCCGUGACAUGGCAUGCCACAGUUUCUUUGCAUUUGUGCAGGAACAAAACCACUUUAGAGUCGGGGUGUGCUACGUUCCUCGUGAUGAAAUUAGCUUAGCUCGAGUUAGAGUAAACAGGAAGUCCCGUCCCAGCAUGAGCAUUGUCUUCAAUAAGCUAUAUGGCAGUAUCCGCUGUGAUCAUAUUCCUGCUCAAGAUGUAAUUCCUGGUCCUCUUCCUCCCAAAGGAUCGUUGAUGAUCGAGCAUGAGAAGGCACUAGGAUUGUGGGCCAUGAAGUUACCUUCUGCUGACACAGUGGUUGUGAAGAGAACACUAGCAAAAGUGACGGAGCAUCCCAAGGGCCUUCCUUGUGUGGACGAGACCUCAGAUUUUGAGAAGCAUAGGAAGGAAUUCUGGUCCUCUAUAAAACCUGCACAUUUUGGUGUAAAGAUCGGCAGCCGUUCCAUCUUGGGCCUUGUGUGGUGCCUGUCUACUGCAAUUUUCGUCGGCAUUCUUGUGGGUUUCUCCUUUGGCAGGUCUCUCUUGCUAAAAUUCCCUGAGUUCUUCUCCCUCGGGUUUUUCAGAAAGACCGGACCAACAGAAGCGGAGGUCAGCAGCGCCUCGUUCAAAACAUGGUUCGUCGGCCGUGGCUACAUCGAUUCGGCCCACGCAUCAGAGUGUGGAAGCAAGCCAGAUAAGGAGAUUGUCACCAGGAGUUUCGGGGCCAGAGAUCGGGUAAUCAUGAACCAAAAGAAGGAAUAUGAAAUUCUCAAACUGCAAGUUGCAGAGAGCAGCACUGGCUAUCUGAAAUUCUGCAGUGAUGAAAUACCUCAGAUAAAAAAUUGGAUUCAAAGAAGGGUGAUGAGGGCAUGGCGCAUUGCUGGAGUGGUACCUGCACUAGAACGUUGGAGCCUCUCCAUGAGUGCGGAGAUGAUAUGA
RNAcentral lists this ribosomal RNA (2505 nucleotides) under Triticum aestivum (bread wheat). RNAcentral's name for it is "partial small subunit ribosomal RNA". Lineage: Eukaryota; Viridiplantae; Streptophyta; Magnoliopsida; Poales; Poaceae. The record is from RNAcentral.